GCUGCUCAAUAGUAUAAGCUAAAAGCUUUAUUCUGAAAACUGAAUUAACUGACUUCCAUAAUCUGAAAUCUGAGAACUGAAUAAAUACUGAAAAAUCACACCAAAAAGAGUACCCAAUGAAUAGCCUUACUCAUGUACAGAGUAAUCUCGAUGUACAAGGCAAAGCCAUUCAAAUCUGAUAAUUUGGCAUACGUAUGCAGAGCUGCCCCAAAGGCUAAUCACCCUAGUACACGAGUGGGUCUCCAAGACCUCUGAUAAUCUGGUCAUAUACUAUGGAAACACAUUCACGAUAGUGCAGAGCGGGUAAAAUCACUAUAACUAGUCAUACACUGUGAAAACACAUUCACAUUAGUGCAAACUGAGGUAAAAUCACCUGGGUACUUUCUGGUGAUUUUUAGAAAUAACUUUAACUAUACUGAAACAUGUAAUAAGAAUAUAACAUGCUACUAAAAUAAUUUAACUGAACUGAAUUUAACUUUAAAAGCAAUUGAUAAUAAAAUCAAUUUUAUUCCGAAAAUCAUGCUAUGAAGUCAACUUUAUAAAAUAAAUAAAUUUUAAUUUUAAAGAAGUCUUAUUUCUGAAAAAUAAGUUUUAUCCACUUACAAGGUAUGAGCUACAAGCUAGAUUGGCUGAUAAACGUUUUCAAUUUCCUCGCCACCACCUGAAAUACGGUAUUAAUAACCAAUUUAUCCUCUAUCUAAUCAAGAAACCUUAAUAUCUAAUGAU
Molecule: long non-coding RNA, 726 nt
Filed under: Olea europaea (common olive)
Lineage: Eukaryota; Viridiplantae; Streptophyta; Magnoliopsida; Lamiales; Oleaceae
Description: long non-coding RNA (OEUR_LNC013743)
Source: RNAcentral